Colossoma macropomum (tambaqui) is the source of this 751-nucleotide long non-coding RNA. RefSeq lists it as uncharacterized. Lineage: Eukaryota; Metazoa; Chordata; Actinopteri; Characiformes; Serrasalmidae. The record is from RefSeq and is a predicted model, not a curated record. The transcript is spliced from 3 exons.
AAUACUGUAAAAGGCGUGGUGAUGUGCAGUGGCGCUGUUUUCAGAGCUGCAGCGCUUUAGAGGGGCGUGUUUAUUAGCUCUAUCAGUCAUAUCCACCUUGUGUUCUCCUCAGUGCUGUAUUUUAGAUUAUGGCUGAAAUAUCUGGUUGUGGAAGUUAAAUUCAUUACAGUGAAUGAGGUUUUAGGGUGGGUGUAUGUUUCACUUCACUGUUGUGGGGCAGUAAACAGAAAACAUUCUCAAGAGCAGUUCCAGAAGGAGACACCAAAGAAAAGAAGAGGAACAGAGACUGGUGAAAGGGGAGAGGGGUGAGUGAGUGAGAGAGAUAACGACAGCAACUUUAAUCUGACGCCGUUACAAACGGAGAGAAGAGCUCAGACAUCAGCGCUUUGGAUUCACUCGGGAGUUCUUCCUUGCUGCUGUCGCCAUUGGAUUCCUCAUGGGAGCUUGGACCAGGAUUUUUUUUGCAAAGCUGCUUCGCGACAACAUUUGUUGUAAAAUGCACUUUAUAAAUAAACUUUGACGGGGCACCUUAAAGCAGAUGAGAAGAAAGUCCUCCAUGAAGUGUAGAAGUGAAGGAUCUUUAUGAAUCUUCUGGUAAACAAUUUGGAGAGAAACAGCCAGAAAUUACUGUUUGUUAGCUAGGUUAGCUAGUUACGUAAAUACAAGUUAGCAUACCCAAGCUGCACAUCCACGGUGGUAUAAAAAUCUAUAAAAUACCUGCUGUAAGUUACAGCUGGAGAGCUCUGUCAGU